UUGUAUUUUGUAGAAGGUGCUUCGGGUGCGAUCGCGGCUCAAGUCCCUUGGAACAGGGCGUCCCAGAGGGUGAGAAUCCCGUACGCGGCCGACGAUCAAGCCCGUGUGAAGCCCUUUCGACGAGUCGAGUUGUUUGGGAAUGCAGCUCUAAAUGGGUGGUAAAUUUCAUCUAAAGCUAAAUAUCUGCCAAAGACCGAUAGCGCACAAGUAGAGUGAUCGAAAGAUGAAAAGAACUUUGAAAAGAGAGUUAAAUAGUACGUGAAAUCGUUAAAAAGGAAGGGCUUGCAACCAGACUCGCUCGCGGGUGCUCAGCCGUCCCUCGGGGCGGUGCAUUCUCCCGCGAUCGGGCCAGCAUCGGUUCUGGCGGCCGGACAAAGGCCUUGGGAACGUAGCUCCUUUCGGGGAGUGUUAUAGCCCGGGGUGCAAUGCGGCCAGCCGGGACCGAGGACCGCGCAUUCGCUAGGAUGCUGGCGUAAUGGUUGCUAGCCACCCGUCUUGAAACACGGACCAAGGGUGAGUAUCCCCUUUUGUUUUUAUCUGCGCCUGUACUCGUGCUAACCUUUUUCAAGGAGUCGACCAACCGGGCGAGUGUUUGGGCGUUAAACCCAUGCGCGUAAUGAAAGUGAACGGAGGUGGGAGCCUUCGGGUGCACCAUCGACCGAUCCUGAUGUCCUCGGAUGGAUUUGAGUACGAGCCCCGUUGGUCGGACCCGAAAGGUAAAGUCGCCCAUUCCGUGCGCUAUGAUUUCUUUUCAUUAACGUCUCGCAGAUGGCGAACUAUGCGUGAAUAGGGUGAAGCCAGAAGAAAUUCUGGUGGAGGCUCGCAGCGGUUCUGACGUGCAAAUCGAUCGUCAAAUUUGCGCAUAGGGGCGAAAGACUAAUCGAGCCAUCUAGUAGCUGGUUCCCGUCGAAGUUUCCCUCAGGAUAGCAGCAACGGAAACAGUCUCAUGAGGUAGAGCGAACGAUUAGAGGCAUGGGGGUUGAAACAACCUUCACCUAUUCUCGAACUUCGAAUAUGUGAGAAGUCCUUGUUACUUAGUUGAA
Molecule: ribosomal RNA, 1043 nt
Filed under: Ocellularia profunda
Lineage: Eukaryota; Fungi; Ascomycota; Lecanoromycetes; Ostropales; Graphidaceae
Description: eukaryotic LSU rRNA
Rfam family: Eukaryotic large subunit ribosomal RNA
Source: RNAcentral